RNAcentral lists this ribosomal RNA (468 nucleotides) under uncultured bacterium. RNAcentral describes it as "partial 16S ribosomal RNA". It matches the Rfam family "Bacterial small subunit ribosomal RNA", at positions 28 to 507 of the family's 1533-position model. The record is from RNAcentral.
GACGAACGCUGGCGGCGUGCUUAACACAUGCAAGUCGAACGGAAAGGCCCUGCUUUUGUGGGGUGCUCGAGUGGCGAACGGGUGAGUAACACGUGAGUAACCUGCCCUUGACUUUGGGAUAACUUCAGGAAACUGGGGCUAAUACCGGAUAGGAGCUCCUGCUGCAUGGUGGGGGUUGGAAAGUUUCGGCGGUUGGGGAUGGACUCGCGGCUUAUCAGCUUGUUGGUGGGGUAGUGGCUUACCAAGGCUUUGACGGGUAGCCGGCCUGAGAGGGUGACCGGCCACAUUGGGACUGAGAUACGGCACAGAAUCCUACGGGAGGCAGCAGUGGGGAAUAGUGCACAAUGGGCGGAAGCCUGAUGCAGCAACGCCGCGUGCGGGAUGACGGCCUUCGGGUUGUAAACCGCUUUCGCCUGUGACGAAGCGUGAGUGACGGUAAUGGGUAAAGAAGCACCGGCUAACUACGUG